GGCAUGCCUUACACAUGCAAGUCGAACGGUAACAGGUCUUCGGACGCUGACGAGUGGCGAACGGGUGAGUAAUACAUCGGAACGUGCCCAGUCGUGGGGGAUAACUACUCGAAAGAGUAGCUAAUACCGCAUACGAUCUGAGGAUGAAAGCGGGGGACCUUCGGGCCUCGCGCGAUUGGAGCGGCCGAUGGCAGAUUAGGUAGUUGGUGGGAUAAAAGCUUACCAAGCCGACGAUCUGUAGCUGGUCUGAGAGGACGACCAGCCACACUGGGACUGAGACACGGCCCAGACUCCUACGGGAGGCAGCA
RNAcentral lists this ribosomal RNA (308 nucleotides) under Delftia tsuruhatensis. Its description in RNAcentral is "bacterial SSU rRNA". It matches the Rfam family "Bacterial small subunit ribosomal RNA", at positions 41 to 353 of the family's 1533-position model. Lineage: Bacteria; Pseudomonadati; Pseudomonadota; Betaproteobacteria; Burkholderiales; Comamonadaceae. The record is from RNAcentral.